This 539-nucleotide long non-coding RNA is filed under the name Ananas comosus (pineapple). Its description in RNAcentral is "long non-coding RNA (ACOM_LNC035713)". The record is from RNAcentral. Lineage: Eukaryota; Viridiplantae; Streptophyta; Magnoliopsida; Poales; Bromeliaceae.
UUAGGGUUGAUAUAUUUUCGGCUUUUUUUGCAAAUAGUCUCCUGACAAAAUUUUAUUUUAAAAUUAGUCCUAUCAGAUUUGAAAUUGCAAAAAUGACCAUACUCCUGCCACGCGGGCGCCACGUCAGCGCCACGCGGGCAGACUGGGGCCAGGUAUGUAAGUUGAACACGGUGAACCAUUCACCGUGUUCAAACACAAUGAAUGGUUCACCGUGUUCAAUGUAUUAUACCGGCCCAAGCUAGUGUGUAUAAUACAUUGGACACGGGGAAUGUGGUUCACCGUAUUGGACACGGUGUAUAAUACAAAUACCUGCGACUUAGCCUUUUUUUGACUAAGUGCUAGUUAUUUAUAUUGGACAUGGUGAAUGAUUCACCGUGCCUAAAUACUAUGAAUGGUUCACCGUGUUCAACUUAAACAACCUGGUCCCCGCCAGGCCCGCGUGGUGCUGACGUGGCGCCCGCGUGGCAGGCCCAGGGCUAUUUUUGCAAUUUAAAUUUUGACAGGACCAUUUUUGAAAUAAAAUUUGUCCAGAGGGCUAA